AUAGCUAAACUAAUAAAGCAUUUCACUUACACCGAAAAGUUGCCCGUGCAAAUCGGACUACUCUGACACUUAAAAGCUAGCUAUAAAUUAUAUUUAACCUAAAAAUCUAUAAAUAUUAAUAUACUGAUACAUAAAACUAAACCAUUUUCCACAUCUUAGUACAGGAGAUAAAAAAGGAACAUUAAGCUAUAAAUUUAGUACCGCAAGGGAAUGCUGAAAGAGAGAUGAAACAGUACAGUAAAGUGGGACAAAGCAGAGAUAUAAACUCGUACCUUUUGCAUCAUGUUUUAGUUAGAACUAAUUAAGCAAAAUGUUUUCUAGUUUAAUACCCCGAAACUUAGUGAGCUACUCCGGGACAGCCUGAUAAUAGGGCAAACACGUCUCUGUAGCAAAAGGGUGUGAAGAUCCCCGAGUAGAGGUGACAAGCCUACCGAACCUAGUUAUAGCUGGUUGUCUGAGACUUAAAUAGGAGUUUAGCCCUUAAUUUUCUAAUUUUAAUAAUGACUUAUCAUUUAAAACAAUAAAAGAAUAUUAAGGAGUUAUUCAUAAGGGGCUCAGCCCUUAUGAAAAAGGAUACAACCUUAUUAGGUGAUUAAUGACAUAAAUAAAGUUAAUGUCUUAGUGGGCUUAAAAGCAGCCACCUUUAAAAGCGUUAAAGC
This 659-nucleotide ribosomal RNA is filed under the name Nothobranchius seegersi. Its description in RNAcentral is "partial 16S ribosomal RNA". The stretch from base 251 to 659 matches the Rfam family "Bacterial large subunit ribosomal RNA", at positions 568 to 1141 of the family's 2925-position model. Lineage: Eukaryota; Metazoa; Chordata; Actinopteri; Cyprinodontiformes; Nothobranchiidae. The record is from RNAcentral.